RNAcentral lists this long non-coding RNA (12922 nucleotides) under Manihot esculenta (cassava). Its description in RNAcentral is "long non-coding RNA (MESC_LNC004105)". The record is from RNAcentral. Lineage: Eukaryota; Viridiplantae; Streptophyta; Magnoliopsida; Malpighiales; Euphorbiaceae.
GGGGUCCUCGGUUCCUCGGGUCUGAACCUACACAGGUGGACUCAAAUGAGGGACCAAACAUACUAGAACAUGACUCUAAAAUACUCCCCAAAAACCCCCUUAAAACACCUCAAAUCAUCAUAGAAAAAUAUGCAAAGGAGGGCUGCACAGGGCACUUUCGGCGGCCGAAAGUCCCUCUAGAGCCGAAAGUCAGGCAGGUUCGGCAGCACCUUCGGCGGCCGAAAGUGCCCUCCAGAGACGAAAGUCUCUUUUCGGGGGCAGGCUUCGGUAGCCGAAAGGCUUGCCUCCCAGCCAUGUUCGGCGGCCGAAAGUCCUUCGGCUGCCGAACCUGGUUUCUGCCAAAGGGCAGAAACUUCAGCUCCUCAUGCACAAAUGCCUCCCAAACCUUCCAAACAUGCAUUUUUUCCUAUUCUACAACAUACAUACUCAAGCAUACAAGUUCCUAGGGGCUUCAACUAACUUAAACCCCAUCUACAACACAUCAAACAUCCACAUUGUUCAUAAACACAACAUAUACCAAUAAACAUAACAAUAACCUAACAUGCAUUUCUACCCCAUAGAUCUACUUAAAACUUACUUAAAACAUGCAAUAAGCUCAAGAUCGGACCUUACCUCUUGAAGAUCGAGAGGAGAAUGACCCUAGCUCAGAAAAUGGGAGAGAGAGAGUUCCUUGAACCUCCAAGCUCCAAAACUUGCUCAAAUGCUCAAAAUCUUCAAAACAAAGUGAAAACUCAUGAAAAUCUUGAAAGAUCUGAAGGAAGAAACUCAAGAUUGGUGAGGGAUGGCGAAGGGCUCACCUUGGCCGAGAAUGGGGAGAAAGCUCACCCAUUUCGGCUAAGGGACCCCUUUAUAGUGGCUGGCCAGGCCACAUUCGGGAGCCGAACGUGCUUCCGCAUGCAUGCCAUAUUCGGCGGCCGAACUUGAGUUUCGGCGGCCGAACCUGGACUUCCCUCACUUAUGCCUUCGGGGGCCUAAAGCACUCCCGAAGUGUAUGUAUGUUCGGCGGCCGAACUUGGGGUUCGGCGGCCGAACCUGAGUUUUCCUCCAAGGCUAUUUUCAUGCAAAAACUCAUUUUCUUUCAUGCUUAAAACAUAAAACACAUUAAAACAUUUUAUGAAAACAUGGUUUUACCCUUCUAGAGGUCUCCGACACCCGAGAUUCCACCGGUCGGUAGGAAUUCCGAUACCGGAGUCUAGCCGGGUAUUACAUAUGGUAUCCACACGAACGUCUUCUAUUCUUCUAGAGUGCUAGCUCUCUCAAAGAUGGAUAGAUUAUAUGCUCCACAAUCUGCAUCUAUUAGACUGAGUUUUCUCAAAACGUCAUCAACCCCCAUAAUUCGUAGUAGGAGUAUUUAUAUAUUUCAGUCUUUUGUUUUCCACCAACUCUUUUCCUAAAAGAGUUGUGCUCAGAACCCACUAUCACAAUCUCGCAGAUACUCAAAUAUCUUAUGUGAUAGAGUCCUUUAUCUGUAACACUUACAGAUAGACUGCAGAUCUUUUAAAUAUUAUUAUCUCAUAAUAAUAAAUAAUUAAUAAUAAUAAAGUGUCAAUAAUAAUAAUAAUAACACUUUAUUAUUAUUAAUUAUAUUAAUGGGCUUUGGGCUUUUAGCCCAUUAAUAUGACAUAGCACAUCAACAAUGUUCUUUUGUAUGUGACCCAAUAGGCUCACAUUAAUUGGCAAUAGGCCCAGUCCCACAAGGCCCAUAAGUCAUAAGUGGCCUCUAGCAAGACAUUAUGACUACUCAACUAAUAUGAGGAUCAAUAGUCCAAUAAAGCCUAAUAAAUAGAACAUGAAUUAAUCCCUUUGUCACACGAUAUCCAGUUUGAACAUAAGUCAUGGUCAAUGUCAAACUUAUAAUGUUCAAACUUAUGAUUUCUCGAUCUCUAAGUAGACUGAUAAAUUCAAAUGAUAUUGAUCACACUAUUAAUUCAUUUGAGCACGGCCAUGCAUUUCUCAGUCUCACUUAUCGAGGGGCCCAGGAGAUAUAUCUCUCAUAGAGAGGGACAAAUCCUAUCUUGAUUGUUCAUUAUCCUCUACAUAAUUUCUAUUAUGCUCAAUCAUAACCUUUAUGAUUGUCCGAUUAAAGACAACGUUUGGUUAUGUCAAAACAUAAUAGUCCUUAUAUUGGAAACUAUGAUAAUCUCAAGUCAAAGGAUUAAGACAUAACUACUUUGAGAUUCACUUAUGACAAUAACCCAUAUAGUGAUCUCAAUGCGGGUCCAUACAAUACUUUGUUCUCUAACAAGUAUCUAUGAUUAUUGAAUUAUAUCAACAUAUACAUAAUCAUCUUAUGAUUAUCAAUCAAUAAUUAUACCAGUUAUAUUUUAUUAUUAUCAACAUAAUAAUAAGUAACUAGGGAUGAUAAUCAUUAUUAUGUAACAUGCAAACAAAUAAUAAUGAUAAAAACCUCUUUUAUUAAUAACCAAAACGACAUACAAAAAGGUCCAAGAUAAUGGCCUAGGGCAUAUACACUAACAAUCAAGUUUGGGUUUUCGAGUUUUUAGUAAUUAGGACAGUUUGGAGCUCAUCUCUUCCUCUUCUCCAAAUUCUUUGUUGUUAUGGUUAUUAUUUCUCCAAAAGAUAAGUGAGAAUCCUUGCCUCUCUCCUAUUUUGAGUUUUUAAAGAGAUUUUAAGUUUUUUAAAGUGAUUGAGCUAUAUAUGCAAGAAUUUGAGGGUUAAGUUCAAUGUUUGUUUUGUUUGGGUGAAUCCUUAUCUUGUUUGAUGCAUAUUGAAAUUUGUUAUGGUUUUGAGUGGUCUUAGGUUUCCUGAGAUGUUAAGUUGUGGUUUUUAGCGGUUGCAUGUAGUUUUGUUAAUAUUUUGGAGGUUGUGGUAAAGAGUAAACUCGAGUUUUACAUUACAAAAAAAUCCAAGUUCGGCAACCUACCUGUGAAGGCUGCCAAACUGCUUCCAGUUAGGACUUUUGGAUUUGUAAGGGACUUUAGGCAGCCAAAAGUCUACUAUCAAGUCGAUUCCUGUCCAUUUUCUACAUGUUUUCUUAUAUACCUUUAAGAGUGUCUCGGGUAGUUUUAAGAGUUGUGAAAUUUAUGUUUGGUCUCUCAUUUAAGUCUAUUUUUAUAGGAUUGGACUUGGGAGACCGUAGAGGCCAUCAUUCAGGUAACUACUUUAGAGAGAGGCCAAUGUCCAUAAGAGGUAAGUAGAACUAAACUAAACUCUUAUUUUAAUCAAAUUAAAUGUUUUAACAUGCUCAUACAUCACAAAUGCCAUGUAUAUUUGAAUAUGUUGUAUGCAUUGUAUAUUUAAUUAAUGUUGUGUAUGGAUGUUGGAUAACCCACUAGACCUCGAGCAUGAUAUGUUAUGUUAUGUAUGAUGGAUAUGGAAGUCCAAGUAGAGGUUCAUUCUACGUCCCUAGCACUAUGUAAGAGAAAGACUAGGGUUUCCAUUCUACACUCCUGGCACUAUGAAUAUGCUAUGUUUAAGAGAAAGUCCUGAGACGCACCUGUUGUAGGCCGGGCACUAUUAGAUUUUUGAGAGGGUUAUUGGUGACAAGUCCAUCUUAUUGUGAUUUGUCUAUGUUAUGAUGCAUACAUUGAGCUUAUGUUUUAUUAAAUUGUCUUAUGCCAUGUUUCUACUUACUAGGCUAUAGUACCUUAUCCCUUUCUCCUAAUCCAAAGUUUGCAGGAUUAGAGUUAGCAUGGAAGAUUAGCAGUAUCCUUUGGAAUAGCUCCUUAUGUACUAGUUUACUUGUGGACAUGUAAUGUAUUAUGGAUUAGAAUUGUGCUUUGUCAAUUUUUUUUUAUGAUCCCUUCUUAAUAAUCUUUUUAUGUAAAAGUUUUAAAUUUAAACUAUGUUUGAACCAAAUAGUGGUAUGUAAGGUUGACUAUACUGGAUCAUUUGAUGCUUGCCGAAUCUCAACGUGCUUCUAUAUAUGGCUUAGACUAUUACAAUUAAAAGAUAAUAGUUUUGUAGGUAAAUAUAUAAAAAAGUGAAAGUUGAGAGGACAUUGAUUAAUUAGAAAAGAUUAGUAGGCGAAAACAAUAAUUAGUGAAGGUUAAAAGGUGGAAUUGAUCUCCACCAUUGGAUUUAAAAGCUAGGAUUAUCCUAACAAUUCAUGUAAUACCCUAAUUUUAUUGGAAAAAAAUAUAGCUGAGGUUAUUACAAGAAAUUAUAUAUAUAUAUAUGGGCAUAUAUAAUAGAGUUUAAAUUCAAGUUGGACUUUAAAAUAAUUGAUAUAGUCGGAAAAUAAAAUUAUACUGUAAUUGGUUAGAAUCUGCAAGAAAGAGAACAUGAGAUAGUGGAUGCUCACGGCAGCCAUUCAGACGUUCAAGUUAGUAUACUAGAGAAUAGGGCGAAUGUAAUGAGUAGCUUAGAACUUUAAUAUAAGAGAAUAGCGUACCUUUACCUCUAAAGUCCUUUUUCUUUUCUACUGUAAGAAGGUGGAGAUAAAUACAGUAUUUUAUGAUAAUCCAAUGAUAAUAUGGCCGGCUGCUUGAUAAGGGAUAUCACCAGCUAAUAGGUUGGUGAUUCCAAGAUUACAGGCAUGAAGGGGAUAUGCUGGACUUUGUCUGAUAACGGUAACUUUGUGUUGAGACUUGCCCUAUCCAGAGAGGGUGAAUCUUGAUGACGAACCUGUGUUAAGAUGUCAGGGUCUUUCUUUCCUCAGGUGAAACCUCAUUAUCCAUUUGUUAGAGUUUGUUGGAUUUUGAUAGUAUGGUGGAGAUGAAAACAUAGGGUAUGGUAGAUAUAGUGGGUAGUAUGAAGGAUAGGGCAUGCAUGAGGGGUAAGAGUGGUAACUAGAGUAAUCCAAUGAACUUCCCAUCAGAUACCUGAGUCCCUGUGGGUAAAAUUGGUACUGAGGUGGAUAGGUGGAUCCUGAGGCCUAAGUGCCUAUUGUUCCUCCUUAGACUCUCCCACACAUUCUCUUUCAAAGUUCAUACCCAAACUUCUGUCUCUCCUCUAUUCAUCACUCACUAAAUCCUUAACAUCUACGGACACCCUACCCGACUCUAUUCCUUUUAUGUUUACAUCAAAAGACCUUAUAGGUCUCUUCAUGCUUCUCCCCUGUUACUUCUGCUUUUCUGUGCUCUUGACGGAGCAGCAGGGGGAAUGGCAUUCAUACCCUCAUUUUCAGGUUGGUCACUGGUCAAUCGUGUAAAUCGACGUGAGCCACACAUCUUUUCUUCUAGAAAACAACAUUAAACACAUAAACAUUAGCAUCAUAUGGUUCAUGUGAAUACAUAUGAACCCACAAGAUACAUAUCAUAUCAUCAAUGCACAUGCAUAUAGUCAUGACAUUACACAUAAGCAUACAUACCUCAAGACAGGACUCUACAUCUUAUCCCUAAUUGACAUGUAUUUUCCUAAUUAUGCUUACCCUCUAACAUCUAUAAGCCGAACACUCUAGGUCUAACCAUAUAAAUUAGGCUCUGAUACCACUCUGUAAUUACUCGAAAAUCGGACUGCUAUUGACACUAAGAUUCAGAUCGACUAAAGGAUAACGGAGCCCAUAGCAAGCCUACUAUAUAUCCUGUUAUAUCUAAUAUAAUCUCUAACAUGAUCUUAAAAUUGUACAUAAACAUUUUCAUAACAUGAACCAAGACUUGGCAUGUUCAUACAUACAUAACUGAAAACAUAAACUCAUACUAGAGCCCUCAUCAAAUGCUCUAGUAUGGUUAACAUUACAUGUCUCUGUUUGGUUCAAACAUAGCUUAAACUUAAAAAUUUUACAUAAUAAGAUCAUUAAUAGGGGGAUCAUAAAAGAAAACUUGUGCAAAACACCAUACUAAACCAUAAAACAUUACGUGUCCACAACUAAACUAUUAAAUCAGAGCUAUAACAAAGAACAUUAUUGACUUCCUGAGCUAACUCUAGUCUUACAAACUUGGGGUUAGGGGAAAAGGGAUAAACUACGAGAGCCUAGUGAGCAGAAAUAUAAUAUAAAAUAGUUUAAUACAACAUAUGAUCGUAUGAAUGUGUCAUAACACAAAUAAUUCACAUCAAGAUGGACUUGUCACUAGUAAUCUUCCAUAAUUCCAAUAGUGCCCAGCCUACAAUGGGUGCUCCGUAGAACUUCCUAUUAAACAUAAUGUAACACAUCCAUAGUGUCAGGGGCGUAGAGUGGGCACCUUGGUCUCUCUCUUACAUAGUGCCACGAGCAUAGAAUGGGUCUUGACUUGGACUUCCAUAUCUAUUAUAACAUGUCAUAACAUGCUUGAGGGCUAAUGGGUCAUUCAAUAUCCAUCCACAACAACAAUUAAUUAUGCAAUGUAUCAUAUUUGUGAAUUCUAAUGUAAAACAACCUAUUCAUAUAUAUAUUGAAUUCCUGAUGCAUGAACAUGCUCAAAACGUUUAAUUUCCUUUAAAAUAAUAGUUUAGUUUAGUUCUACUCAACUCUGGAUGAUGCAAGCCUAACUCUGAAGCAAUUAUCUCAUUGUCAGUCUCUACGGUCUUCCAAGUUUGAUUCUAUAUAGAUGGACUUAAAUGAGGGACUAAACAUAAUUUUUACAACCUUUAGAACUACCCCAAGAAAGCCCUAAAAGCAUAUAAGAAAACAUGUAGAAAACAGGCUAAAAACGGUUGGACAAGAGACUUUUCGGGGUAGGUUCGGCGACUUAAAGUCUCCUUACAGAUCCGAAAGUGAAACUUUCAUAGGCAUGUUAGGCUGUCUAAAGUGGCAACCUUCACAGGUAGGUUUGAUGGUCGAACCUGAAUUCUUCUAUAAUGCAGAACAUGAUUUUGCCUUCUAUCAACAACCCCUAAAACACAACCACAACCACAUGCAAAGUCUAAAACUAGACCAUACCAUCAUAGGAGGUAUAAAAUGACUAAAACAACAUAAAACAUUAACAUGCAUCAACAAAACAAGGAUUUUACCCAAGAAUUUGAAGAUUGAAAUAAAAGUUAUAACUUAACAUGCAAGGCAACUUGGUAUUCUCUUUGUAUACAGGCUUCAACACAAAAGUAUACAUUGAAAAUCCAACAAAAAUAGAAGGAGAGGUAAAAUUGAGAAUCUUUCUUACCUUUACAGAAGAUUUCUUCAAUUGAGAGAAACUUUUGAGGAAGAACUUUUAAAAGCUUGAUCAACUUGGAUUCAAAGAUUGAAAAACUUUAAUCUAUACAAAAACCUUUGAAAUCAGCUACUUUUUUACUUAGAAUGGCCAAAAAAAUGAAGAAAAAAGCCAACCAUUUCUCUGCUUGAAAAUAGAGAAAAUCUCCUUCCAUUUUUGGAUUGAGCUCUAUUUAUAGAUAGGCUAGAAGAGCCACAUUCAGUGGUCAAAUCUUAAAACUUUUUUAAAAUUUCUUUUAACACAUUUUUAAAAUACCUAAAAUUCAUUUUAUAAAGGACCAAUUUCACCCUUCUAAGUUUUUUGGUUCCAAGAUUUCAAAUUCUAAUAGAGAUCCUAUAAAAAAUUUAGAAUUUCUACACUGGAAUUUAGCUGGGUAUUACAUAAAUUCUUUAGGAAGGAGGUAAAGGAAGAGAAAAUGUAUUGUUCGAAGGGUUAUCCAUACAACAAAAUGAUCAAAUCAUCCACUUAAGAGAUAUGAACUCUUUCACGAGGGUAAAAUAUUCAUCCAUGAAGGAAUAAAUCAUGUAGAUGAUCCUACUACCUACAAAUAAGCUAUAUUUGAUAUAAAUUCCUCAAAAUGGUUAGAAUUAAUGAAAUCUGAAAUGGAUUCCAUGUACAAGAAUAGUGUCUGGGAUCUUAUGGCCAUCUUUAAGGUAUUGUACCAGUAGGAUGCAAGUGGGUCUAUAAGAGAAAGACAUAUUCUAAUGGAAAGAUAGAGACUUUUAAAGCAAGGCUAGGUGCAAAAGGUUAUACUAAAGCAAGGAAUCAACAACGAUGAGACUUUCUCGCCAGUAGCCAUGCUUGAAUGCAUUAGGAUACUUCGAGCCUAAACACUAUGAUUAUGAAAUUUGGCAAAUGGAUGUCAAAAUAGCUUUCUUAAAUGGUCACAUUUAAGAAGACAUUUUCAUGGAAUAACCUAAGGGUUUUGAAUCCAAAGAAGGUUCCAAAGUGUGUAGGCUUAAGAGAUUCAAUUAUGGUCUUAAGCAAGCUUAUAGGAGUUGGAAUAUAUGAUUUGAUGAAGCAAGUCAAUCCUUCGGCUUUAUCAUGAAUAUUGAUGAACCCUCCCUGUGUGUACAAGAAGGUUAGUUGGAGUGUAACUAUUUUGCUCGUCUUUUAUGUGGAUGACAUAUUAUUGAUGGAUAAUGACACAGAAAUGCUAAUAAGUGUGGAGCUUUUGUUAUUAAAUACAUUCACCAUGAAAGACUUAGGAGAAGCAAUAUAUAUCCUUAGAAUGUGUCUUUGUAUAGAUAGAGUAAAAGGGAUAAUAGGUCUCUCAUAGAGUUUAUAUUUGGAAAAGGUGUUGAGAAUUUUCAACAUGCUUGAUUCCAAAAGAGGGUUGUUACUAGUUAGACAUGGUGUCCAUCUCUUAAAACAGAUGUCUUCGAAGACUCCCAAAGAAAGAGAGAAAAUGGUUAUGGUUCCAUAUGCUUCGGCUAUCAGAAGCUCAAUGUAUGCUAUGUUGUGUACUAGGCUAGAUAUAGCCUAUGUUGGAGUGUGACUAUCAGAUUUUAGUCCAACCUAGGUUUGGAACACUAAAAUGCAGUUAAAACCAUAUUUAAAUACUUGAUAAGGACUAAAGAUUUGGUUUUGACUUAUUUAGGUAAUGAUUUGCAAAUCAAUGGCUUACAAAAUCUAAUUUCCAAUCAGAUGUUAAAGAUAAAAAGUCUAUCUCUUGUUUUGUGUUCACAUGUAAUAGAGGAGCUGUGAGCUAGAAGAGUUCUAAGCAAACUACCACAACAAAUUCUACUACAAAAGCAGAGUAUGUUGCUACAUUUGAUACUGCAAAUGAAGUUGUUUAGAUGAGAAAGCUCAUUACAGAGUUAGGUAUGGUUCCUUCCAAUAGUGGUGCUAUAGCUUAGGCGAAGGAGCCUAGAUCACACCAAAAGUCCAAACACAUAGAGAAGUGCUCUUAUAUUAUCAUAGAGAUAGUUGGAAGAGGUGAUGUUGCCUUGCAGAAAAUAGCUUCAACAGAUAAUAUUGUUGACCCACUUGCUAAAGCUAUGAGUCAACAGUAGUUAGAGAGGCAUCUAGAGAAGAUGGGCCUUAGAUACUGUAGUGAUUGGCUCCAGUGCAAAUGGGAGAUUGUUAGAGAUAUAUGCCCUAGAGCAAUAUUUCGUAUCAUUUUCUUUGUAAUUAAACAUUCCACUCGGCAAUAAAAUAGUUCCUUUUAGUUUAUAUUAAAUGUUAUUUAAUUAAUAAUUGGACUGUUCCAUUAGCUUUUUAUUAGAUGUUUCCAUUCUUAAAUAUUUAAGAAUAAGUGUGAUAGAACAUUCCUGCACAAAUAGCUAUAAAUUGAUUCACAAUUGUAUGAUGUCUCAUUGAUCAUGAUUCAACCAGUUUAGACUGUCACCUCUAUCUUUCUCUGCUAAUUAGCAUGGAAAUGCUAAUGAGAGUAGGAUAAUGAGUCAUAUACCAUUUGACAUGAGAAGUCUAGAUAGAUAUGUGGGUGCUUAUAAUGAUAAGAGAUUUGAACUAGUGAUAUUUUGAUACAUGGAGUUUACUCUUGUCAUAGUUUGAGUGUCUAAGUCAUAAUAGUGCAUAUAAUUCUUAGACCUAAGAUAACAAUUAUUUCAUGUAUAGGUGAUUUGAGUUUAAUAUCACUUACAUACUUAUACUAUGUAUAGUUAUAUGGUGAAUAUUGGCUCAAGUUAGUUAUAUGUGGUUUUAUGGUUUUAGCCAAGAUGGGAUUCUUUAUCUUGGGUAAACGGGUGAAAUUCUAUGAUUGGGAUUAAUUAUUCUUAGUAUCCAAAGUUAUUAACCAAGACAGUGUGAUCUAAUAGAAAAAGAGUUUUCUAUUGAAAGCCUAAUCAAUUAAUAAUUGGAAUUAAUUGUUGACCAUAUGAUUCAAUGUAUUAAGAUUUUAUAUUACCGUGGCAUUAGCUAAAAUUGAAAUUUUGUAAAUAAAGGAUUUUAGUACAUAAUAAUUUAUGAUCGAGAUUUAAAGGAAUGAAAUAAAUAUAUUUAUUAUUAAUUGGAUAGUCAUGGUAUGUUAUGCUGGAUGCUAACCAUUACUUAUAGAAAUCUAAAAAAAUUUCGAAUGUUAUUUUGGAUUAAUAAAAAAAUAUUCUUAAUUCCAUUAUCAAUUAACUCCGAACCCAAUGAAUCACACACAUAACAUUAAUCUUCACAAGUCAGGUUAAUUAAUUAAUUAAUUAAUUAAUUAAAGAAUUUAAUUUGUAAUGUGAUUACAAAAGUUUUUAGGAUAUCUAAUUUUAUAUUUUAUUCAUGGGAUGAUCAAAUUCCAUGUAUCACAUAGAAGAGGAAGAAACUAAAUAUCCUGUAAUUUUGAUAUAAAUUCAUUAAUAUGAUUAAUGAAUUAAUUAAUUUAAUAGUGAUUAAAUUAAUUUAAUUAAAGAUUAAUGACAUGUAAUUGUUGCAUAUUAAUUAUAUCAAAAUAGAACCGUUUCAUUUUUUCUAGAUAUGCCAAAUAUAGUUUAGGGGUUUCUAAUCCCUAAAUAAUUUUAGGAUAAAUUUAAGGAUUUGAUUUAGGGGAGGGAUAUUUUAGAGAUUUGCAUUUUAGGGGUUAGAUAAAGAAAUCUCUAAACCGUAAUGGUAACCCUAUAACAUGAACCAAUAGUUUUUUGACAAACUCAAAAGUAAGAAUUGUGAUGGGCAUACCUCUCUUCUCUCUCUUUCUUGAUUAAUGGAGAGGAAGGGGAAAAAAAAAAUUAUCUUCUUCCCCAUAUACUUGGACAGCAACGUAUGAAAUUCAAAAGAGAAAAUUUCCUUCUUCCUCCAUUGAAGCUCUCAAACAAAAUUAUAGUUGGGAUUUUAGAAGAUAAUUACACCAUAUUUAAGGAGCACUUAACCUAGCAAGGAGAGGGUGGAAGCUUAUCUACACGCUUCAAGUUAUUGAAGAUUAAUAGUAUGGACUAUCUUUAGAGGGCUUCUAUUUGAGAAUUUUGCAUUCCACUUAGAGAGUCUACAAGAAGUAAUCCUAAAUUUUAUGAUAAUUUAGGUAAGAUAGUUUAAUUAAAACUCUUCACUCUCACAAUAUACUAAUGGGUUUGAUCCUUAAAAAUCACAAGUGUUGUGUUCUCACAAUAAACUAAUGGGUUUGAUCCUUAAAAAUCCCAAGUUUGUGUUCUUUAUUAUUUCUUAAUGCUUCAUAAUUAAUUAAUUACAAAGAAAUUAGCAUUAAGUCAAAAUGCAUUUCUCUUGCUUCCAAUGUUUAAUUUAGGUAAAAUAUAUCUUGCUUUCAGGUACCAAAAAAUAGAGACAAUAAUAAAGGACGAGUUGACCUACUCAUCGCUUAAUAGGGUCCACUAUCCUUCUUAUUUCAUGGUCCAGUGGUCUAGGUUCAGGAAGUGGCUACGAGAGAGGGAAGGUAUUAAGUACCAUUCUCGCUUAAAAUUACUUAAAAACCAGUACCAACCCGAUUCUUAUAUUCUAUCUUUUUGUAUUAAUUAGGAAAUCUUCUCUCAAGCAUAUGCAAGAAGUUUAUUUUACACGGAUUAGAGCACCCAAAAUACUUAAAGCAAACACAUUCUUUACCCUAAACAUGCCACAUAUCUAUUUUAAAUUAAGGUGAGAUAUUUACCAAAUUACCCUAGUUAGCAUGUUUCUAAGCCCAUUUCAUGCAUGGUUCAACUAGCACAAAGGUAUGGUUCCUAGCUUGCAUAAUGUCUAUGUAUAGUUCAACCAAAGCAAAGAUAAGUCUACUAAGUUUCUACUAUGCUAUCUUAAGCUUAUUUUAUGGUUGGCUUGCCCUGAAGUUCCUUACAACUUAGUCAUUUUCAUGGCAAUAACCUUAAACAUACUAACUAUAUCCCUAACAUGCAUAAUCAAUUUUAAUGUUAUCAAAUUAAAUAACCUAAGUUACUAAGUUAAAUUACAUAUAAAUUAGAAAGCAAAUCAAAUUAAAUCUCAUACAAUAAAAGAGGAAAGAUAAUAGAAAUUAAAAUAAUUAAUCCAAAAAGUCUUAAAAAAUGAGAGAGGAUAAAAGAAUUUCAUCUCCAAAAUAAUUAAAAUAGAGCAAAAUAAAAAUUAAUCUUAAUAAUUACAACGCUUCAAGCCCAUCACCCUUUACGAUAGGCUUUCAAUUAUCUCCACUGAGCAUCCAUCAUGGGCUCCAUAUAUCCAUUAAAAUAAGAUGUGCUCACCAAGCCUAAGAAGGUUUCAGCCAUCAUGAUGCUCCAAGAAAAUUUCAGACUUUUUCAUCUUUUUUACUUGCUCAUUUAAUUAAAUUAAAUAUAAAAACAAAGUAAAGUACAAAUAGAUCGAAAAUAAAAUAAAUUUAAAAAUUCAGAAAUAAAAUACUUAAAGACUAAAUUUAAAUAUUUUUUUUUUUGAAAUGAAGACUGAAAAUUGGAGGAGUAGAACCUAAAAUUAAAAUAGAGACGGACACCAAAUAGAAUUCUAAUAUAUAUGAUGAUAAAUUCUUUAAAAAAAAAAAUCAGCUGAAUUGAGUCUGUCAAAGCAAAAUAAUAUAUGAAAAUUGUAUGAAAUUUUAUGUAAAAUUUAAUAAAAGUACUUUUAAAAUGAUAAUUUAUUUAUAUUAAAAUUGAAUUUGGAAUAAAGUUAAUUUAACUCUAAAAUUGUGUUUGCCCUCAAAAUUGUAAUAAAAAAUAAUUCAAUGGAUAUUUAGAAUCUCUAAACUAAUAAGAAUAAAUAAAUCGAGUAUUCUAUUCUAUGAUUUAAUUUAGAAAAAAAAAUAAUUAUAAUACAACAAAGAAAAAAAAGAAAAUACAUACCUUUGAAAGGAAGAGGGCGGCGGCAAGCUAUUGCAAUGGUGAGGAGUUCUUAAUAUCAUGGAAGAAGGAAAAUUCAUAAGAGGAGAGGGGAGAUUGGCCAACUGCUCUUGAAGAUUUUGGUGAUUAAUUAUGAUGUUUUAGGGUUUAGGAAGAAAUGGGUUUAUAACAAGUGUAAGUGAGGUGGUGCUUGGUUGAAUGGAGAAC